RNAcentral lists this non-coding RNA (31 nucleotides) under Homo sapiens (human). The record is from RNAcentral. Lineage: Eukaryota; Metazoa; Chordata; Mammalia; Primates; Hominidae.
CUACCAACCAGCUGAGGACACUGAGGUGCAA